CCCGACCAAUCAGAGGCCAUCUUCAACCGAUCGGGAACAGUCUCCAAUUGGUUAGAGGUGGUCUCUGACUGGCCAAGGG
Ornithorhynchus anatinus (platypus) is the source of this 79-nucleotide non-coding RNA. Lineage: Eukaryota; Metazoa; Chordata; Mammalia; Monotremata; Ornithorhynchidae. The record is from RefSeq and is marked provisional.